This 574-nucleotide ribosomal RNA is filed under the name uncultured bacterium. RNAcentral's name for it is "partial 16S ribosomal RNA". It matches the Rfam family "Bacterial small subunit ribosomal RNA", at positions 355 to 920 of the family's 1533-position model. The record is from RNAcentral.
UGGGGAAUUUUGGACAAUGGGCGAAAGCCUGAUCCAGCAAUGCCGCGUGUGUGAAGAAGGCCUUCGGGUUGUAAAGCACUUUUGUCCGGAAAGAAAUCCUUGGCUCUAAUACAGUCGGGGGAUGACGGUACCGGAAGAAUAAGCACCGGCUAACUACGUGCCAGCAGCCGCGGUAAUACGUAGGGUGCAAGCGUUAAUCGGAAUUACUGGGCGUAAAGCGUGCGCAGGCGGUUUGCUAAGACCGAUGUGAAAUCCCCGGGCUCAACCUGGGAACUGCAUUGGUGACUGGCAGGCUAGAGUAUGGCAGAGGGGGGUAGAAUUCCACGUGUAGCAGUGAAAUGCGUAGAGAUGUGGAGGAAUACCGAUGGCGAAGGCAGCCCCCUGGGCCAAUACUGACGCUCAUGCACGAAAGCGUGGGGAGCAAACAGGAUUAGAUACCCUGGUAGUCCACGCCCUAAACGAUGUCAACUAGUUGUUGGGGAUUCAUUUCCUUAGUAACGUAGCUAACGCGUGAAGUUGACCGCCUGGGGAGGGUACGGUCGCAAGAUUAAAACUCAAAGGAAUUGACGGGGUC